RNAcentral lists this long non-coding RNA (1849 nucleotides) under Oreochromis niloticus (Nile tilapia). RNAcentral's name for it is "lncRNA (ENSONIG00000034747.1)". The record is from RNAcentral. Lineage: Eukaryota; Metazoa; Chordata; Actinopteri; Cichliformes; Cichlidae.
AUGAUUUUUCCAGGUUGGUACACAGAGCCACAGCCAUCUAAAGGUCUGGAGCAACGGCGCCGUGAAGUUAUCCACCUAACUUCUCAGCCAUCCUCUAAAGAUGCCACUGACCGACAGGUUGUGCCAAAGAGACUUGUAAGACCUAAGAAACCGAGUCUCCAACACUUAAAAGCCUCUGAGCAGUCAUCCAAACCAAAAGAUCUGAAACAAAGGGACCAUGAAGCUGUCCACCUACCUCCUCUGCCAUCCACUAAAAAUGUCCAAGAGCCCUUAAAGGAUGUGAUAUCAACCCCUCCUCUCCCAAGGCUUCCCAUUAAGAGUUAUAUACAGCGGGACCCUACUUCCAAAUCUCAACUUAACGAGUACCACAGUACUGACUUUGUUUUGACUGACAGUCAAACUGUGAUUUCGGGGUCAGAUGGUGAUGAUGCAGGAUUGCUAAUUGUGAAGCACUGGGAAAAGUAUUACAAGAAUGUAUGCAAGCUUCGAUGCAUCCCCUUCUUUGCACGCUACAGACUAUGGAAACCCUUCUAUGUCUGGCACAGAAAUGUUUGUGCCAACAAGAUGACUUUGGCCAGGGAGUCACUACAAAAAAAUUUGUUUAUUGUCAUUCCGGUAUGUGCAUGUACAAAUUGAGGUCUGUUUUUAGUGAUCUCGAAAUAUUUUCAGAGAGAGAAAGUCUUUGAAUUAUACAGAUUUUAAUAAGAGUGUGGUUCUUUGAUCGAGUCACGUGAUGGAGCGUUUGGGAAUGGCCGCACCAUAGAGAGUCUCUGGCCCCCCGUCGACCCUACAUUAGUUUUUAAAAAGGUAAACGCUCCCAAAUAAUAUAUUUCUACACUGCGGUGACUCGCUAGAUCAGUGUCCUCGAAUUUAUUGAGAGACAUGGCCACAGGAAGUAAGAAGAAGAGCGUGCAAACCCGAAUCUCCACGAUGGCGGUGGGGGAAAGUAAUGCUAGCAGUGCCAAGGCUAGCCCUGCUAGCCAAGAAGAAGGGCCAGAGAUGGAUAUAAGCGGUCUGUUUGCCGAAAUGACUAAGCUUGGAGCUAUUCUAAAUAAUGUUGCGGCCGAUGUAUCUCACAUCAAGUCAGACAUGGUGGAAUUUAAAAACGCUAUAAGUGCAAUCCAAACACGGAUGACCGAAGCUGAGGGCCGCAUCUCAGAUGUGGAAGACAAAAUGAGGAGCAUAACAGAGGAUAAUGGAAAAAAAAGCUAAAAAGCUUGAACAACUAUGGGCCCCAGUAGACGACCAGGAAAACAGAAACCGCAGAAAGAAUGUUCGGCUUAUCGGUCUGGAAGAGGGUUUGGAAAGUGGUGGCAACAUAAAUGAUUAUGUGAUGAAGAUACUCGCGGAUGGCCUAGGUCUACAAGGGGAGGAAUAUGAGUUGGAAAGAUGUCACAGAAGUACGAGACCACACCCAGGACCUGGUCAGCCACCUCGAACCGUGCUGGUGAGAUUUCUCCGUUACACUGCACGACAAAAAGUUCUCAUGACCGCUAAGCAGAAGAAAGGAACACUGUGGGAGAACUGCCUCUUGUCAUUUUAUGAAGAUAUGACCGCGGAGCGAGCGGCGCAGAGGAAGCUUUUCUCCCCAGUAAUGAAGAAGUUAUGGCAGCAUCAGAUAAAGCACACCCUGGCACAUCCAGCAAAACUUCGAUUACUAUGGAAAGGCCAGCAGAAGAGCUUUGACAACGUUGAGGAGGCAGAGAAAUUUGUACGUCAGAACCUCCAAGAAGUGGUGGAGUAAGGGGUUAGUAAGCUAAAUUACAUGUAUGGGAGCGCAUUGUUAAUAAUUACAUAAGACGGGGGCGGGCUCCCUGGGGUGUCGCCGGGACAGCAGGAGGACAGCAGU